Molecule: ribosomal RNA, 254 nt
Filed under: uncultured bacterium
Lineage: Bacteria
Description: partial 16S ribosomal RNA
Rfam family: Bacterial small subunit ribosomal RNA
Source: RNAcentral
UACGUAGGGUGCGAGCGUUAAUCGGAAUUACUGGGCGUAAAGCGUGCGCAGGCGGUUUUGUAAGUCAGAUGUGAAAUCCCCGGGCUCAACCUGGGAACUGCGUUUGAAACUACAAGGCUAGAGUGUAGCAGAGGGGGGGUAGAAUUCCACGUGUAGCAGCGAAAUGCGUAGAGAUGUGGAGGAAUACCAAUGGCGAAGGCAGCCCCCUGGGUUAACACUGACGCUCAUGCACGAAAGCGUGGGGAGCAAACAGG